Molecule: ribosomal RNA, 497 nt
Filed under: uncultured bacterium
Lineage: Bacteria
Description: partial 16S ribosomal RNA
Rfam family: Bacterial small subunit ribosomal RNA
Source: RNAcentral
GAUGAACGCUGGCGGCGUGCCUAAUACAUGCAAGUCGAACGCACAGCGAAAGGUGCUUGCCCCUUUCAAGUGAGUGGCGAACGGGUGAGUAACACGUGGACAACCUGCCUCAAGGCUGGGGAUAACAUUUGGAAACAGAUGCUAAUACCGAAUAAAACUUAGUGUCGCAUGACACAAAGUUAAAAGGCGCUUCGGCGUCACCUAGAGAUGGAUCCGCGGUGCAUUAGUUAGUUGGUGGGGUAAAGGCCUACCAAGACAAUGAUGCAUAGCCGAGUUGAGAGACUGAUCGGCCACAUUGGGACUGAGACACGGCCCAAACUCCUACGGGAGGCUGCAGUAGGGAAUCUUCCACAAUGGGCGAAAGCCUGAUGGAGCAACGCCGCGUGUGUGAUGAAGGCUUUCGGGUCGUAAAGCACUGUUGUAUGGGAAGAACAGCUAGAAUAGGAAAUGAUUUUAGUUUGACGGUACCAGACCAGAAAGGGACGGCUAAAUACGUG